CCCUUAGAUGUUCUGGGCCGCACGCGCGCUACACUGAUGCAUUCAACGAGCCUAUCCUUGACCGACAGGUCCGGGUAAUCUUUGAAUCUGCAUCGUGACGGGGAUAGAUUAUUGCAAUUAUUGAUCUUCAACGAGGAAUGCCUAGUAGGCGCAAGUCAUCAGCUUGCGUCGAUUACGUCCCUGCCCUUUGUACACACCGCCCGUCGCUCCUACCGAUUGGGUGUGCUGGUGAAAUGUUCGGAUCGGCCGUUUGUCGCGGUUUCCGCGUCAUGUGGCUGAGAAGUUCAUUAAACCCUCCCACCUAGAGGAAGGAGAAGUCGUAACA
RNAcentral lists this ribosomal RNA (325 nucleotides) under uncultured eukaryote. RNAcentral's name for it is "partial 18S ribosomal RNA". It matches the Rfam family "Eukaryotic small subunit ribosomal RNA", at positions 1470 to 1796 of the family's 1831-position model. The record is from RNAcentral.